RNAcentral lists this ribosomal RNA (840 nucleotides) under uncultured bacterium. RNAcentral describes it as "bacterial SSU rRNA". It matches the Rfam family "Bacterial small subunit ribosomal RNA", at positions 8 to 860 of the family's 1533-position model. The record is from RNAcentral.
AGAGUUUGAUCCUGGCUCAGAGUGAACGCUGGCGGCGUGCUUAACACAUGCAAGUCGAACGAGAACGGAUUAUAGCUUGCUAUAAUUGCCAGCUAAGUGGCGCACGGGUGAGUAAUAUAUAGGUAAUGUGCCUCUUACUAAGGGAUAACAGAUGGAAACGUCUGCUAAUACCUUAUAUUCUUUUAUGCAGAAGUAUAGAAGGGAAAGAUUUAUCGGUAAGAGAUCAGCUUGUACAGUAUCAGUUAGUUGGUGGGGUAAUGGCUUACCAAGACUAUGACGCUUAACUGGUUUGAGAGGAUGAUCAGUCACACUGGAACUGAGACACGGUCCAGACUCCUACGGGAGGCAGCAGUGGGGAAUAUUGCACAAUGGACGAAAGUCUGAUGCAGCAACGCCGCGUGGAGGAUGACACAUUUCGGUGCGUAAACUCCUUUUAUAUGAGAAGAUAAUGACGGUAUCAUAUGAAUAAGCACCGGCUAACUCCGUGCCAGCAGCCGCGGUAAUACGGGGGGUGCAAGCGUUACUCGGAAUCACUGGGCGUAAAGAGCAUGUAGGCGGAUUGAUAAGUUUGAAGUGAAAUCCUAUAGCUUAACUAUAGAACUGCUUUGAAAACUGUUAAUCUAGAAUGUGGGAGAGGUAGAUGGAAUUUCUGGUGUAGGGGUAAAAUCCGUAGAGAUCAGAAGGAAUACCGAUUGCGAAGGCGAUCUACUGGAACACUAUUGACGCUGAGAUGCGAAAGCGUGGGGAGCAAACGGGAUUAGAUACCCCGGUAGUCCACGCCCUAAACGAUGCACACUAGUUGUUGUGAGGCUAGACCUUGCAGUAAUGCAGUUAACACAU